This is a long non-coding RNA of Dendronephthya gigantea, 916 nucleotides long. RefSeq lists it as uncharacterized. Lineage: Eukaryota; Metazoa; Cnidaria; Anthozoa; Malacalcyonacea; Nephtheidae. The record is from RefSeq and is a predicted model, not a curated record. The transcript is spliced from 3 exons.
GUGCUGAGAACACUUGGUAAUAUGUAACACGAAGUAUAAGACGUCCAGAUUCGACCAUGUUGAAUUUCUGUUUUAAAUUUUGGAUUUCUUGAGAAAAAUUGCGAUAAUUCGACAUGUUUUUUGAUCCGGAUAAAUUUGAUGCUGUUAUAGUAAUCUUCAAGUUUCUCGCUGUAUUCUCAUGCGGCUUGCUUGCGGGACAAAGCUUGUUUCUUAGCAGGGCGCCGUUCAAAUGUCUGCUUGCCAUGGUCAAUGCUGACAAGAUAUCCUUGCGAGUAUUUCGUUUCUCUGGGACGACGGUGAACCUUUAUAUGUAUCGACUAAAUUUGCUGGCCUGUUUUGCUGGAUUUGCUGUGUUUAUGUUGGAGAUAAGAGACAGACAUUAUUGGCUGUAUGGAGUUUUGGGUUUACUUCUGGUAUUGCUUUAUACAAAGUUUUAUUUAUGUCCAAGAAUUAUUGACCAUUUGAUGGCACCAGAUUUUGCGAAGAAAAGUGAAAGUCAUACAGAAUCUAUGAUAUCUAAAUUUCAACAAAGGCACCACGGAAGGACGGUGCUCUUGUCCAUAACGUUUGUCUGGCUCAUAUACAGUCUAUAUGUCUCGUGAAAGCACAGAAUGGGAAAGAAGCAAUUGUGGGUAAAUUUUCAAACAUUCCAGGAUUCCCAAUAUUCACUAUGAUCUUGGAUUACGAAUAACAGUUCAGUCAAAACACGGAAGCCCUUGUCUCAUUUGUAAUUGUUGUCAGCAUGUUAACUGUAGACAAUAGACAAAUGCAGACAAUUGUUUUUAUGCCUUGAUGAGAACUUUUUAGAUCAUUUCAAUUUUCACAACAAUUGUGACAAGAGAACUUAAUUCAAUCCAAAAACUGCAGCAUGGUGCAUGCUGUAAUUUAAUGUAACUCCUCUAUGACAAAGUAUUGC